GUGGGGAAUAUUGGACAAUGGGGGCAACCCUGAUCCAGCCAUGCCGCGUGAAUGAUGAAGGCCUUCGGGUUGUAAAGUUCUUUUGGAGGGGACGAUGAUGACGGUACCCUCAGAAUAAGCUCCGGCUAACUUCGUGCCAGCAGCCGCGGUAAUACGAAGGGAGCUAGCGUUGUUCGGAAUUACUGGGCGUAAAGGGCGCGUAGGCGGUUUGGUUAGUCAGAUGUGAAAGCCCAGGGCUUAACCCUGGAACUGCGUUUGAUACUGCCAAGCUUGAAUUCGGGAGAGGUGAGUGGAAUUCCCAGUGUAGAGGUGAAAUUCGUAGAUAUUGGGAAGAACACCGGUGGCGAAGGCGGCUCACUGGACCGACAUUGACGCUGAGGCGCGAAAGCGUGGGGAGCAAACAGGAUUAGAAACCCUGGUAGUCC
This 425-nucleotide ribosomal RNA is filed under the name uncultured bacterium. RNAcentral describes it as "partial 16S ribosomal RNA". It matches the Rfam family "Bacterial small subunit ribosomal RNA", at positions 354 to 796 of the family's 1533-position model. The record is from RNAcentral.